This 137-nucleotide transfer RNA is filed under the name Penicillium salamii. RNAcentral's name for it is "tRNA-His". It matches the Rfam family "tRNA". From Rfam's summary of the family: Transfer RNA (tRNA) molecules are approximately 80 nucleotides in length. Their secondary structure includes four short double-helical elements and three loops (D, anti-codon, and T loops). Further hydrogen bonds mediate the characteristic L-shaped molecular structure. tRNAs have two regions of fundamental functional importance: the anti-codon, which is responsible for specific mRNA codon recognition, and the 3' end, to which the tRNAs corresponding amino acid is attached (by aminoacyl-tRNA synthetases). tRNAs cope with the degeneracy of the genetic code in two manners: having more than one tRNA (with a specific anti-codon) for a particular amino acid; and 'wobble' base-pairing, i.e. permitting non-standard base-pairing at the 3rd anti-codon position. Lineage: Eukaryota; Fungi; Ascomycota; Eurotiomycetes; Eurotiales; Aspergillaceae. The record is from RNAcentral.
GGCGGUUUGGCCGAGUGGUCUAAGGCGAUUGAGUAUGUGUCACUAGAAAACAUGUUCAAUCUGAAUUUUCACUAACCAAUACAACAGCUCGAAAUCAAUUCUCUUCGGAGGCGCAUGUUCGAAUCAUGCAGCCGUCG